This is a non-coding RNA of Peromyscus californicus insignis, 84 nucleotides long. The record is from the annotation of a RefSeq genome assembly. NCBI's taxonomy places the organism in Eukaryota, Metazoa, Chordata, Mammalia, Rodentia, Cricetidae.
GUCAGUACAGCCUAGUGGUCUAAGGCGCCAGACCCAAGUUCUGGUCUCCAAAAGGAGGUGUGGGUUCGAUUCCCACUUCUGACA